UAGAUACCGUGGCAAUCCAUAACACGUCUAGGACUUUUCUACAAAACUUCGAUAAAGUUGUAAGAUUACGACAAUUGAAUGAAAAGAAUAAAAUAACAAUGACUCGUCAAGGCGUCGAAGAUUUUUUCGAUUUGAAUAUGUUGCCUGGUCCACGAACGCAAAGCGCUAUGUCUAUAUCAGAGUUCUCUAAUCAAAAGCCAAAAAUUUCAGCAAUAGAUUCAACAUACACUUUUAUGCCUCGGGCGUUUUGGCGCAAUAAGACUGCUCCAUCACCACGUGAAGUUCCCCUUAUGGAGCCACCUCUAUCGAAAAAACCAGCCGGAGACUCGCAAGGAACUCUUCUUAAAGGAAUACUUAAAAGACCUAUGCCAAUGAAAUAUAUUUGAAUCAUAUUUAUUACUUA
Melitaea cinxia (Glanville fritillary) is the source of this 403-nucleotide long non-coding RNA. RefSeq lists it as uncharacterized. The record is from RefSeq and is a predicted model, not a curated record. NCBI's taxonomy places the organism in Eukaryota, Metazoa, Arthropoda, Insecta, Lepidoptera, Nymphalidae. The transcript is spliced from 2 exons.